Molecule: ribosomal RNA, 443 nt
Filed under: uncultured bacterium
Lineage: Bacteria
Description: partial 16S ribosomal RNA
Rfam family: Bacterial small subunit ribosomal RNA
Source: RNAcentral
CCUACGGGUGGCUGCAGUGGGGAAUAUUGGACAAUGGGGGGAACCCUGAUGCAGCGACGCCGCGUGAGUGAAGAAGUAUUUCGGUAUGUAAAGCUCUAUCAGCAGGGAAGAAAGAAAUGACGGUACCUGACUAAGAAGCCCCGGCUAACUACGUGCCAGCAGCCGCGGUAAUACGUAGGGGGCAAGCGGUAUCCGGAUUUACUGGGUGUAAAGGGAGCGUAGACGGUUACGCAAGUCUGGAGUGAAAGGCGGGGGCCCAACCCCCGGACUGCUUUGGAAACUGUAUAACUGGAGUGCAGGAGAGGUAAGUGGAAUUCCUAGUGUAGCGGUGAAAUGCGUAGAUAUUAGGAGGAACACCAGUGGCGAAGGCAGUUCACUGGACUGCAACUGACACUGAGGCUCGAAAGUGUGGGUAUCAAACAGGAUUAGAUACCCGAGUAGUC